This 254-nucleotide unclassified non-coding RNA is filed under the name Hevea brasiliensis (rubber tree). The record is from RNAcentral. Lineage: Eukaryota; Viridiplantae; Streptophyta; Magnoliopsida; Malpighiales; Euphorbiaceae.
UGGGAGCAGUCCCCAAUGUGAACCGCUUCACACUGGAAAGGCUGUUUCGCAGCCAUCUUGGAGAUGUGAUUGCAUUCAACGCGAUGCCCGCCGGCGCAAUUUCUGUCUCCGCAGCAACAGNNNNNNNNNNNGUGCUUAGGUUCCCGCAAUAAAGCCGCUUGCUGCAUUCAAUCUCGAAAUUGGAAUUGCUGUUCCUGGUGUUCUCAAUCAGGUGCAAGGAGGCUUGUCAUGAAUAAGGUGGGUAGGGCGCUUCG